RNAcentral lists this ribosomal RNA (429 nucleotides) under Acidobacteriota bacterium. RNAcentral's name for it is "Acidobacteria bacterium partial 16S ribosomal RNA". It matches the Rfam family "Bacterial small subunit ribosomal RNA", at positions 355 to 776 of the family's 1533-position model. The record is from RNAcentral. Lineage: Bacteria; Pseudomonadati; Acidobacteriota. RNAcentral also lists the same sequence under 2 other names.
UGGGGAAUUUUGGACAAUGGGCGCAAGCCUGAUCCAGCUAUUCCGCGUGUGGGAUGAAGGCCCUCGGGUUGUAAACCACUUUUGUAGAGAACGAAAAGACACCUUCGAAUAAAGGGUGUUGCUGACGGUACUCUAAGAAUAAGCACCGGCUAACUACGUGCCAGCAGCCGCGGUAAUACGUAGGGUGCGAGCGUUAAUCGGAAUUACUGGGCGUAAAGGGUGCGCAGGCGGUUGAGUAAGACAGAUGUGAAAUCCCCGAGCUUAACUCGGGAAUGGCAUAUGUGACUGCUCGACUAGAGUGUGUCAGAGGGAGGUGGAAUUCCACGUGUAGCAGUGAAAUGCGUAGAUAUGUGGAAGAACACCGAUGGCGAAGGCAGCCUCCUGGGACAUAACUGACGCUCAGGCACGAAAGCGUGGGGAGCAAACAGG